GCCCAUGGUCACAAUGGAUUGAUCACAGAAGAUAAAACGAUCUAGCUUAGUCUAGUACUUGGAUGGGAUACCUCCUUGGGGAUCCCAAAAGCCAUAGGCU
RNAcentral lists this ribosomal RNA (100 nucleotides) under Sphenodon punctatus (tuatara). Lineage: Eukaryota; Metazoa; Chordata; Lepidosauria; Sphenodontia; Sphenodontidae. The record is from RNAcentral.